CUGAACUGUAUUGACUUGAGUGCAGGAGAAGGUAAAGCUGAAUCCUAGUGGUAGGCGGUGAAUGCGUAGAUAUUUAGGAGGAAACACCCAGUGGCGAAGGCGGCUUACUGGACCUGUAACUGACGCUGAGAACACGAAAGCGUGGGUAGCAAAACAGGAUUAGAUAUCCUCGGUAGUCAACGCUGUAAAUGAUGAGUGCUAGGUGUUGAGUAGCGAUAUUCAGUGCCCGGAGUAAACACAAUAAGCACUCCCGCCUGGGGAGUACGUACGCAAGUAUGAAACUCAAAGGAAUUGACGGGGACCCGCACAAGCAGCGGAGCAUGUGGUUUAAUUCGAAGCAACGCGAAGAACCUUACCAAGGCUUGACAUCCCCUUGACCAGUGCAGAGAUGUACUCUCUUCUUCGGAAGCAAGAGAGACAGGUGGUGCAUGGUUGUCGUCAGCUCGUGUCGUGAGAUGUUGGGUUAAGUCCCGCAACGAGCGCAAC
Molecule: ribosomal RNA, 486 nt
Filed under: uncultured bacterium
Lineage: Bacteria
Description: bacterial SSU rRNA
Rfam family: Bacterial small subunit ribosomal RNA
Source: RNAcentral